AGGACGAACGCUGGCGGCGUGCUUAACACAUGCAAGUGGAGCGACGAACCGGACUUCGGUCCGGGGCAGAGCCGCGAACGGGUGAGUAACACGUGGGUUAUCUGCCCAGUUGACAGGGACAACCCGGGGAAACCCGGGCUAAUACCUGAUGUGCCCCUCGGGGGAAAGGAAGCUUCGGCCUCCGCAACUGGAUGAGCCCGCGGCCCAUUAGCUUGUUGGUGGGUAAUGGCCCACAAGGCUGCGAUGGGUAGCUGGUCUGAGAGGACGAUCAGCCACACUGGGACUGAGACACGGCCCAGACUCCUACGGGAGGCAGCAGUGGGGAAUCUUGCGCAAUGCGCGAAAGCGUGACGCAGCAACGCCGCGUGAGGGAAGACGGCCUUCGGUUGUAAACCUCUUUCGAGUUGGGACGAAGGCGAACCGGUGAAUAGCGGCUUGCUUGACGGUACCUUACAGAAGAAGCCCGCAACUACGUGCCAGCAGCCGAC
RNAcentral lists this ribosomal RNA (488 nucleotides) under uncultured soil bacterium. RNAcentral's name for it is "bacterial SSU rRNA". It matches the Rfam family "Bacterial small subunit ribosomal RNA", at positions 26 to 518 of the family's 1533-position model. The record is from RNAcentral.